CUUGAAUUGGGGGAGUAUGUGAGUGAUAGUCAACUUUAAAGACCACGCAAUAGCACGUAUCUAGUAGGAUAGUGAUUACGGAUAUCGAUCCACAGGGAUUGGGGUACAGUUAUUUUCUUAAAAAUAAUUGAAAAAGGAAAUUUGUGAAGACUAUUAAACUAAGCAAUUUAAUAAGAAAUGCAAUUAAAAUGAUAUCAGUUUGGAGAAACCUAGGGCAAGGAAUUCACCACUAACAUCGGAAUAAGGGUUAAUUGUAUUUUUAAUUUAUUCUUGGAUUAUUAUGCAAAUUGGCUACAAGCCUAAUAAGCAUUCGAAUAAAAUUUUACAAAAGUAAUUUAGAUAUAAUCUAUCUUUAGUUAGCAUGAAAUGUUUACCCUAAUCUUGUUUGGAACCCGCCCAUGCCGCAGAAAAUUCAAAAAAAUUCAGAUAGCAGCGGAAUCAGCAUAAGCGGGAUCGAUGUU
RNAcentral lists this long non-coding RNA (461 nucleotides) under Phoenix dactylifera (date palm). RNAcentral describes it as "long non-coding RNA (PDAC_LNC011339)". The record is from RNAcentral. Lineage: Eukaryota; Viridiplantae; Streptophyta; Magnoliopsida; Arecales; Arecaceae.